RNAcentral lists this long non-coding RNA (355 nucleotides) under Hordeum vulgare. RNAcentral describes it as "long non-coding RNA (HVUL_LNC003520)". Lineage: Eukaryota; Viridiplantae; Streptophyta; Magnoliopsida; Poales; Poaceae. The record is from RNAcentral.
AUAAUGCAUAAAAUAAAAAAUUAAGACAAUGUAGCAUCUGAGAUAAAUCUUGAGCUUUAUUACUGGCCGCCUUAUUAAAACCUUCCAUCCCUAGGAAGUAAAAGACUACAAAGCCACGUUCUAGAAUUACAAAAAGGAAAGAAACUUAUAAAAAGAUAAGAAAAUAACAAAAGAAAAAGAAAAUGACUACACUACUAAUCUACCGAUAGGUCCGAUGUCGAGUCUUCUUCAAGGUUCAUAUCUUCAAACAUGGCCCGUAUUUCCGGGUUUUCUACAGUGUGCUCGGCUCUCCUUCUUGAUAGCUCCCCAUCUUUCAUGGACAUUAGUGUUCUCAUCAUAUCAGGGGUGAGACUAG